UUAGUAAUCUUUCAACAUAUAAAUUAUCACUGAAAACUAACAAAAGUAACUAUGCUUUCCAGGAAAACCAAGAUGAGACUUACAUUCCUGCCAUAAACAACUAGGAAACUGGGCGGAAUACUAAAAACAACUCUUUGUAGAUAUUGGACAACCAUCAUUCUGGAGCUAUUAUCUUGAUAUUCAGAGAAGGUAAACAAAUGUGGCUCCCUUCCAAGAGUCUCAAUGCAUUCGCCAAGGAGCAAUUUCACUCUAUUUCCUUCUUCCACCACCAUUUUCCAGAGUCCUCAAUCCCAGGUGAGAGUGUUGGAAAAGUUUUGCUUUCUGAAAUGUAUUUGGGCAGGCCAGUUAUUCCACAUAAAUCAAGUACCCCCUUGAGGUUCCCCAGUUUUUAAAAGCAUGGGAAUGUGGGUUGUCUUGGCUUCACUGCCUUUGUCCGGUGUGUAGGAUGUCCUGGCAGUCCAUCCACUUGAGCUUGAAAUUUGGCCUUGGGGCUGGGUUCUGUUCACUUCCUCCUAAGUAGGCUUUCAGGCCAGGAAAAUGUUGUAAUAGAGUUUCUUCUCUCCAAAAAAUCCCUAGAGAUUCCUCCUCUUGGACUUGAGGGUAGACAUUCAAAUAUUGCCUUCCUUGGAUGUUUUUUAGUUUAGCCAAGGAUUAAUUUUUCCAAUCGUCUGCCCUAAUAAAUAUGUCCAACCCUUCCAUUCAUUCUGUAUUUGAACCCAAUGUCACAGGGUUGUUUAUAUUUAAACCCCUUCCAGAAAUCCAUAUUCUAUUCCUUCAUGACCUUUUAACCUGCCUGCUCAUGUAUAUAUGUG
Molecule: long non-coding RNA, 812 nt
Filed under: Mustela putorius furo (domestic ferret)
Lineage: Eukaryota; Metazoa; Chordata; Mammalia; Carnivora; Mustelidae
Description: lncRNA (ENSMPUG00000028304.1)
Source: RNAcentral